CACGCUAUGUGAAGAAGUUCACAGGCUGAAAUUCACUGCAGUUCAGCACCUCUCAGUCAAACAGUAGGUUAGUGAUUUGCCUUUGAUCUCACAGCUGUUUAGGAUGCAGUCAUUAACGAGACACACACACACGCACGCACACACAUUCUUGUACUUGUUGCUUUUUGAGGUCCACCUUGCAGUUCAUCUGCUUGUACACACAGUUAAUAUGUGUCUGCUUCACCACCUAUCUCCACCCACAAACUUUGAGCUACAGAAACCAUUCUGGGCUUCAAAAAUUCAGCUCAUUGAAGAUAUUAUGGGGUGUUUUGAGGAUUGUGAUAAUAAAUUGUAUUAAUGUGUUUAGCAGAGUCUUGUGUUCUCACAAGCUCCUUAUGAAUAUAUACAGAGGAUGAGCGUCAGGGCCUACUUGGAGUCCUGUUUCUUUAGCUUCAAGCCUUCUUUCUCCUGCUAUAGUUAUGCAUCCAAGGUCCCCAUGGCAACCAAUUUGUGCACCUGGAGACACACAGCUGACUGGAAAGCUGCUUCUAAUGGCCAUAUGAGACACAUGAAGCCAGGCUUAGUACGCAUAGCACUGGGGAUGACACUUAAAACCCUUUACUAGAGUGCUUGAAAAAACUUCAGCCCCUAUCUCCUCACAUGAACUUUGGCCUACAGAAACCAUUCAGGGCUUUAAAAUUUAUGCUCAUUAAGGACAUUAUGGGGUGUAUUCAUGAUUUAUAUUCAUUUAAAUUUUCACUUUUAUAAGUCACUCAGUGAUGAUUUAUCAUUUAAUUUUUCAAACUAAUUUAAACUCAUUCAAACUGAUACAAACCUUUCUAAUACUUAAAAACCAUUUGAUACUUGAGGAUUUUUCAUUAUUUAAAUUUUCCCUGUUUUAAAUUAGUUUUAAUAUUUAUGCAUUACUCCAUCCUUCAAACAAAAUCCUACCUCAAGUACGACAACUACUGCUAAUGUCAGUCAAACUAGUACUUUCCCCUCUACUUCAACUGCUAUUGCUCCUUUUUCUACUUUCUCUACUGCUGCUAUUGCUACUAUUUCUACUUUCUCUACUACUUUGACUUAUACUUCUUUUAUUCUCAAUCUACUUCUACUGCUGACAUGACUACUAGUAUCACGACUUGACCUCUUAUACUACUUCUAGUACUACAACUUAAACUUAUGCCACUUCUCGCCUUCCUGCCUUUUAAGGCAAUUUCCUUCUUCAUUCAAACUUUGUGCAAUUUCAGACAUUUUUCUAGCCCCUUUCAGCAUGAAUAAAAUUUCCUUUCAUAGAGCAUAUUCAUACUAUUUGUCCUUCAACAAUUUCAACAUUUAUCCAACUUAUAUUUCUUUUUCACCUCUUCAACAGCUUUAACAUUUAUACCUUUCUCCUUGUUUUAUUAGCAGUUUAGCAUUGCUUUUUUAGCUUUCAGCACUCAGCAUUUCCACGCAUUUUCUGCAAGGAAAUGCAAUUUUUCUAGUUAAGUGGAAAUGCUGAUUAAGCAUUUCCACUUAUUGUUAUUCUCCCGUUUCUUUAUUAUUAUUAUUAUUAUUAAACUUAUUAUUCUUCCGUCCCUUUUUUGGACCGCUUCUCCUCCUUCAAACUUUGUCCGAUUUCAACCGUUCAAACUUUAAACUAUUCCACUCCUUCAGGACAUUAUUGCUAUUACUUUUCACUCUUCUACCCUUUAUACUUUUUGAUAUUUUUAACUUUUUGUGCAAAAAUUUUAACAUUGAAGUCAAUGGGGAAAUCUUAAAAUUCUACCUUUUACUCUUCCACCUUCAAAGCCUUAUAACUUCAGCAUACUUUCACCUAGAGACCUCAUUUUUGCUUUAAAAUGUUCACUCAAUUGUCGACUAUUAAAGUUGUACUCAGUUUUUUGAUAUCUCUUACAGUUUUUCCACAAUUUAGCUUUAAGCAACUUGUGGUUUUCAGCAAAUUUCAAGCUUUAUAAUGGGUGUGUAUUGGAGAGUUUAGAGUGAUGAUGUCAUCAGCUAGAGUGCAGACCUCGUCUCUGAUCGACAGAACCUCGCUCGAAUAUAUCGCUCCCACGCCCACAAAUCUCACUCCAGAGCCAUAAAAAAUACAUCAAAAUGGAGGUAUAUGUGUCCUGCUUCUCACAAAAGAGGUUUCAAAUCAUUUAAUCUUACCCCUUGGCCAGCAGGUGACCAACUGUCCAAAUAAGGCGGAAAUCUCUCCCAUUGACCAUAAUGUUAUUUUUCUCCAAGAAAAUCCGGAUCAUCGCUCAGGCUCAGACUUUUUUAACUCGCUGUUGUGGCCUCUUUUUUCGAAGUACAGACAUGAAAAACACAUCAUUGUGUUCAUGAAGGGCGGAGGAUUCGUACGAUGUUCUUAUUUUCAUUCUGUGACUUAAGGAAAUCACGCUAUGUGAAGAAGUUUAGAGCCUCUAAAUCCUCUGCAGUUCAGCUGCUUCUCAUUCAAACAGUAGGUCAGUGAUUUGCCUUUGAUCUCACAGCUGUUUAGGAUGCAGUCAUUAACGAGACACACACACACACACACACACACACACACACACACACACACAUUCUUGUACUUGUUGCUUUAUGAGGUCUACCUUGCAGUUCAGCUGCUUGUACACACAGUUAAUAUGUGUCUGCUUCGCCACCUAUCUCCACCCACAAACUUUGAGCUACAGAAACCAUUCUGGGCUUCUAAAAUUCAGCUCAUUGAAGAUAUUAUGGGGUGUUUUGAGGAUUGUGAUAAUAAAUUGUAUUAAUGUGUUUAGCAGAGUCUUGUGUUCUCACAAGCUCCUUAUCAGGAAUAGAUACAGAGGAUGAGCGUCAGGGCCUACUUGGAGUCCUGUUUCCUUAGCUUCAAGCCUUCUUUCUCCUGCUAUAGUUAUGCAUCCAAGGUCCCCAUGGCAACCAAUUAGUGCACCUGGAGACACACAGCUGACUGGAAAGCUGCUUCUAAUGGCCAUAUGAGACACAUGAAGCUAGGCUCAGCACACAUAGCACUGGGGAUGACACUUAAAACCCUUUACUAGAGAGCUUGAAAAAACUUCAGCCCCUAUCUCCUCACAUGACCUUUGACCUACAGAAACCAUUCAGGGCUUUAAAAUUUGAGCUCAUUGAGGACAUUAGGGGGUGUAUUAAGGAUUUAUAUACAUUUAGAUUUUUCACAUUUUAAAGUCACUCAGUGAUGAUUUAUCAUUUAAUUUUUCAAACUAAUUUGAACUGAUUCAAACUGAUUCAAACCUUUCUAAUACUUAAAAAAUUAAACUUAUGCCACUUCUCACCUUCCUGCCUUUUAAGGCAAUUUCCUUCUUCAUUCAAACUUUGUGCAAUUUUAGACAUUUUUCUAGCCUCUUUCAGCAUGAAUAAAAUUUCUUUUUAUAGAGCAUAUUCAUACUAUUUGUCCUUCAACCAAUUAAUCAAUUAUCCAACUUACAUUUCUUUCACACCCCUUCAACAGCUUUAACAUUUAUACAUUUCUCCAUGUUUUAUUAGCAGUUUAGCAUUGCUUUUUCAGCUUUCAGCACUCAGCAUUUCCACGCAUUUUCUGCAAGGAAAUGCAAUUUUUCUAGUAUUAUACUUAACACUCUCCCCAUACGUUUCUUUGGACCGCUUCUCCUCCUUCAAACUUUGUCCGAUUUCAACCGUUCAAACUUUAAACUAUUCCACUCCAUCAGGACAUGUGUGCUUGUAUUUUUUUCCUUUCUAUCCUUUGUACUUUUUAUUAUUUUUCACUUUUUGUUCCAAACUUUUUUCCCAUAGAAAUGAAUGGGGAAAUCUUCCAAUUCUUCCUGUUAUUCGUGCACCUUCUAAGCCUUAUAACUUCAGCAUACUUUCACCUAGAGACCUCAUUUUUGCUUUAAAAUGUUCAUUGUCUUGUCGACUAUUGAUGUUGUAUUAACCUUUUUGUGCUAUCUUUUACAGUUUUUCCACAAUUUAGCUUUAUGCAACUUGUGGUUUUCAGCAAAUUUCAGGCUUUAUAAUAGGGGUGUAUUGGAGAGGCUAGAGUGAUGAUUUGAAAAGCUAGAGUGCAGACCUCCUCCCUGAUCGACAGAACCUCGCUCGAAUAUAUCGCUCCCACGCCCACAAAUCUCACUCCACAGCCAUAAAAAAUACAUCAAAAUGGAGGUAUAUGUGUCCUGCUUCUCACAAAAGAGGUUUCAAAUCAUUAAAUCUUACCCCUUGGCCAGCAGGUGACCAACUGUCCAAAUAGGCGGAAAUCUCUCCCCAUUGGCUCUAAUGUAUUUUUUCUCCAAGAAAAUCCUUAUCGCCACUCAGGCUCAGACUUUUUUAACUCGCUGUUGUGGCGACAUUUUUCGGAGUACAGACAUGAAAAACACAUCAUUGUGUUCAUGAAGGGCGGAGGAUUUGUACGAUGUUCUUAUUUUCAUUCUGGGACUUAAGGAAAUCGUGCUAUGUGAAGAAGUUCAGAACCCUAAAUUCACUGCAGUUCAGCAGCUUCUCCAUUCAAACAAUAGGUCAGUUCAUGGCUUUGAUCUUACAGCUGUUUAGGAUGCAGUCAUUAACGAGACACACACACACACACACACACACACAUUCUUGUACUUGUUGCUUUAUGAGGUCUACCUUGCAGUUCAGCUGCUUGUACACACAGUUAAUAUGUGUCUGCUUCGCCACCUAUCUCCACCCACAAACUUUGAGCUACAGAAACCAUUCUGGGCUUCUAAAAUUCAGCUCAUUGAAGAUAUUAUGGGGUGUUUUGAGGAUUGUGAUAAUAAAUUGUAUUAAUGUGUUUAGCAGAGUCUUGUGUUCUCACAAGCUCCUUAUCAGGAAUAGAUACAGAGGAUGAGCGUCAGGGCCUACUUGGAGUCCUGUUUCCUUAGCUUCAAGCCUUCUUUCUCCUGCUAUAGUUAUGCAUCCAAGGUCCCCAUGGCAACCAAUUAGUGCACCUGGAGACACACAGCUGACUGGAAAGCUGCUUCUAAUGGCCAUAUGAGACACAUGAAGCCAGGCUCAGCACACAUAGCACUGGGGAUGACACUUAAAACCCUUUACUAGAGCGCUUGAAAAAACUUCAGCCCCUAUCUCCUCACAUGACCUUUGACCUACAGAAACCAUUCAGGGCUUUAAAAUUUGAGCUCAUUGAGGACAUUAUUGGGUGUAUUUAGGAUUGUUAUUCAUUUAAAUUUUUCACAUUUUAAAAGUCAGUCAGUGAUGAUUUAUCAUUUAAUUUUUCAAACUAAUUUGAACUCAUUCAAACUGAUUCAAACCUUUCUAAUACUUAAAAAAUUAAUCUUAUACCACUUCUCACUUUCCUGCCUUUUGAGGCAAUUUCCUUCUUCAUUCAAACUUUGUGCAAUUUUAGACAUUUUUCUAGCCUCUUUCAGCAUGAAUAAAAUUUCUUUUUAUAGAGCAUAUUCAUACUAUUUGUCCUUCAACCAAUUAAUCAAUUAUCCAACUUACAUUUCUUUCACACCCCUUCAACAGCUUUAACAUUUAUACAUUUCUCCAUGUUUUAUUAGCAGUUUAGCAUUGCUUUUUCAGCUUUCAGCUUUCAGCACUCAGCAUUUCCACGCAUUUUCUGCAAGGAAAUGCAAUUUUUCUAGUAUUAUACUUAACACUCUCCCCAUACGUUUCUUUGGACCGCUUCUCCUCCUUCAAACUUUGUCCGAUUUCAACCGUUCAAACUUUAAACUAUUCCACUCCUUCAGGACAUGAUGGCUAUUACUUUUCUCUUUUCUACCCUUUAUACUUUUUAUUAUUUUUCACUUUUUGUGCCAAACUUUUUUUCCCAUAGAAAUGAAUGGGGAAAUCUUUCAAUUCUUCCUGUUAUUCGUCCACCUUCUAAGCCUUAUAACUUCAGCAUACUUUCACCUAGAGACCUAAUUUUUGCUUUAAAAUGUUCAUUGUCUUGUCGACUAUUGAUAUUGUAUUAACCUUUUUGUGCUAUCUUUUACAGUUUUUCCACAAUUUAGCUUUAUGCAACUUGCGGUUUUCAGCAAAUUUCAGGCUUUAUAAUAGGGGUGUAUUGGAGAGGCUAGAGUGAUGAUGUCAUCAGCUAGAGUGCAGACCUCGUCUCUGAUCAACACAACCUCGCUCGAAUAUAUCGCUCCCACGCCCACAAAUCUCACUCCACAGCCAUAAAUAAUAGAUCAAAAUGGAGGUAUAUGUGUCCUGCUUCUCACAAAAGAGGUUUCAAAUCAUUAAAUCGUACCCCUUGGCCAGCAGGUGACCAACUGUCCAAGGAAGGCGGAAAUGUCUCCCAUUGACCAUAAUGUUAUUUUUCUCCAGGAAAAUCCGGAUCAUCGCUCAGGCUCAGACUUUUUUAACUCGCUGUUGUGGCCUCAUUUUUCGAAGUACAGACAUGAAAAACACAUCAUUGUGUUCAUGAAGGACGGAGGAUUCGUACGAUGUUCUUAUUUUCAUUCUGGGACUUAAGGAAAUCACGCUAUGUGAAGAAGUUCACAGGCUUCAAAUCCUCUGCUGUUCAGCUGCUUCUCAUUCAAACAGUAGGUCAGUGAUUUGCCUUUGAUCUCACAGCUGUUAGGGAUGCAGUCAUUAAUGAGACACACACACACACACACACACACACAUUCUUGUACUUGUUGCUUUGUCAGGUCUACCUUGCAGUUCAGCUGCUUGUACACACAGUUAAUAUGUGUCUGCUUCACCACCUAUCUCCACCCACAAACUUUGAGCUACAGAAACCAUUCUGGGCUUGAAAAAUUCAGCUCAUUGAAGAUAUUAUGGGGUGUUUUGAGGAUUGUGAUAAUAAAUUGUAUUAAUGUGUUCAGCAAAAUCUUGUGUUCUCACAAGCUCCUUAUGAAUAUAUACAGAGGGUGAGCGUCAGGGCCUACUUGGAGUCCUGUUUCUUUAGCUUCAAGCCUUCUUUCUCCUGCUAUAGUUAUGCAUCCAAGGUCCCCAUGGCAACCAAUUUGUGCACCUGGAGACACACAGCUGACUGGAAAGCUGCUUCUAAUGGCCAUAUGAGACACAUGAAGCCAGGCUCAGUACACAUAGCACUGGGGAUGACACUUAAAACCCUUUCCUAGAGCGCUUGAAAAAACUUCAGCCCCUAUCUCCUCACAUGACCUUUGACCUACAGAAACCAUUCAGGGCUUUAAAAUUUAAGCUCAUUGAGGACAUUAUGGGGUGUAUUUAGGAUUGUUAUUCAUUUAAAUUUUUCACAUUUUAAAAGUCACUCAGUGAUGAUUUAUCAUUUAAUUUUUCAAACUAAUUUAAACUCAUUCAAACUGAUUCAAACCUUUCUAAUACUUCAAAACUUUCUGAUACUUGAGGACUUUUGAUAAUUUAAAAUUUCCCUGUUUUAAAUUAGUUUUAAUAUUUAUGCAUUACUCCAUCAUUCAAACAAAAUCCUACCUCAAGUACGACAACUACUGCUAAUGUCAAUUAAACUAGAACUUUCCCCUCUACUUCAACUGCUAUUGCUCCUAUUUCUACUUUCUUUACUACUUUGACUUAUACUUCUUUUAUUCUCAAUCUACUUCUACUGCUGACAUGACUACUAGUAUCACGACUUGACUUCUUAUACUACAAUUUAAACUUAUGCCACUUCUCACCUUCCUGCCUUUUAAGGCAAUUUCCUUCUUCAUUCAAACUUUGUGCAAUUUUAGACAUUUUUCUAGCCUCUUUCAGCAUGAAUAAAAUUUCCUUUUAUAGAGCAUAUUCAUACUAUUUGUCCUUCAACCAAUUAAGUAGUUAUCCAACUUAUUUUUCUUUUUCAUUCCUUCAACAGCUUUAACAUUUAUACCUUUCUCCAUGUUUUAUUAGCAGUUUAGCAUUGCUUUUUCAGCUUUCAGCACUCAGCAUUUCCACGCAUUUUCUGCAAGGAAAUGCAAUUUUUCUAGUAUUAUACUUAACACUCUCCCCAUACGUUUCUUUGGACCGCUUCUCCUCCUUCAAACUUUGUCCGAUUUCAACCGUUCAAACUUUAAACUAUUCCGCUCCAUCAGGACAUGAUGGCUAUUACUUUUCUCUUUUCUACCCUUUAUACUUUUUAUUAUUUUUCACUUUUUGUGCCAAACUUUUUUCCCCAUAGAAAUGAAUGGGGAAAUCUUUCAAUUCUUCCUGUUAUUCGUCCACCUUCUACACCUUAUAACUUCAGCAUACUUUCACCUAGAGACCUAAUUUUUGCUUUAAAAUGUUCAUUGUCUUGUCGACUAUUGAUGUUGUAUUAACCUCUUGGUGCUAUCUUUUACAGUUUUUCCACAAUUUAGCUUUAUGCAACUUGUGGUUUUCAGCAAAUUUCAGGCUUUAUAAUAGGGGUGUAUUGGAGAGGCUAGAGUGAUGAUUUGAAAAGCUAGAGUGCAGACCUCGUCUCUGAUCGACAGAACCUCGCUCAAAUAUAUCGCUCCCACGCCCACAAAUCUCACUCCACAGCCAUAAAAAAUACAUCAAAAUGGAGGUAUAUGUGUCCUGCUUCUCACAAAAGAGGUUUCAAAUCAUUAAAUCCUACCCCUUGGCCAGCAGGUGACCAACUGUCCAAAUAGGCGGAAAUCUCUCCCCAUUGGCCCUAAUGUAUUUUUUCUCCAAGAAAAUCCUUAUCGCCACUGAGGCUCAGACUUUUUUAACUCGCUGUUGUGGCCACAUUUUUCGGAGUACAGACAUGAAAAACACAUCAUUGUGUUCAUGAAGGACGGAGGAUUCGUACGAUGUUCUUAUUUUCAUUCUGGGACUUAAGGAAAUCACGCUAUGUGAAGAAGUUCACAGGCUGAAAUUCACUGCAGUUCAGCACCUCUCAGUCAAACAGUAGGUUAGUGAUUUGCCUUUGAUCUCACAGCUGUUUAGGAUGCAGUCAUUAACGAGACACACACACACACACACACACAUUCUUGUACUUGUUGCUUUUUGAGGUCCACCUUGCAGUUCAGCUGCUUGUACACACAGUUAAUAUGUGUCUGCUUCACCACCUAUCUCCACCCACAAACUUUGAGCUACAGAAACCAUUCUGGGCUUGAAAAAUUCAGCUCAUUGAAGAUAUUAUGGGGUGUUUUGAGGAUUGUGAUAAUAAAUUGUAUUAAUGUGUUCAGCAGAGUCUUGUGUUCUCACAAGCUCCUUAUGAAUAUAUACAGAGGGUGAGCGUCAGGGCCUACUUGGAGUCCUGUUUCUUUAGCUUCAAGCCUUCUUUCUCCUGCUAUAGUUAUGCAUCCAAGGUCCCCAUGGCAACCAAUUUGUGCACCUGGAGACACACAGCUGACUGGAAAGCUGCUUCUAAUGGCCAUAUGAGACACAUGAAGCCAGGCUCAGUACACAUAGCACUGGGGAUGACACUUAAAACCCUUUCCUAGAGCGUUGGAAAAAACUUCAGCCCCUAUCUCCUCACAUGACCUUUGACCUACAGAAACCAUUCAGGGCUUUAAAAUUUAAGCUCAUUGAGGACAUUAUGGGGUGUAUUCAGGAUUUAUAUUCAUUUACAUUUUUCACAUUUUAAAAGUCAGUCAGUGAUGAUUUAUCAUUUAAUUUUUCAAACUAAUUUAAACUCAUUCAAACUGAUACUUGAGGAUUUUAAAGUAUUUAAAUUUUCCAUGUUUUAAAUUAGUUUUAAUAUUCAUGCAUUACUCCAUCCUUCAAACAAAAUCCUACCUCAAGUACGACAACUACUGCUAAUGUCAAUUUAACUAGUACUUUCCCCUCUACUUCAACUGCUAUUGCUCCUAUUUCUACUUUCUCUACUUCAACUGCUAUUGCUACUGUUUCUACUUUCUCUACUAUUUUGACUUAUACUUCUUUUAUUCUCAAACUACUUCUACUGCUGACACGACUACUAGUAUCACGACUUGACCUCUUAUCAUACUACUUCUAGUACUACAACUUAAACUAAUGCCACUUCUCACCUUCCUGCCUUUUAAGGCAAUUUCCUUCUUCAUUCAAACUUUGUGCAAUUUUAGACAUUUUUCUAGCCUCAUUCAGCAUGAAUCAAAUUUCCUUUUAUAGAGCAUAUUCAUACUAUUUGUCCUUCAACCAAUGAAACCAUUAUCCAACUUAUAUUUCUUUUUCAUUACUUCAACAGCUUUAACAUUUAUACCUUUCUCCAUGUUUUAUUAGCAGUUUAAGCAUUGCUUUUUCAGCUUUAGCACUCAGCAUUUCCACGCAUUUUCUGCAAGGAAAUGCAAUUUUUCUAGUUAAGUGGAAAUGCUGAUAGGCAUUUCCACUUAUUGUUAUUCUCCUGUUUCUUUAUUAUUAUUAUUAUUAUUAUUAUUUUUCUUCCGCCAUUUUUUGGCACUUUAUAACUCUUCUCCACUUUGUGCGAUUUCAACCGUUCAAACUUUAAACUAUUCCUCUCCUUCAGGACAUGACGGCGAUUACUUUUCACUUUUCUACCCUUUAUACUUUUUGAUUUUUUUAACUUUUUAUGCAAAAAUUUUAACAUUGAAGUCAAUGGGGAAAUCUUCCAAUUCUUCCUGUUAUUCUUCCACCUUCUGAACCUUGUAACUUCUGCAUACUUUCACCUAGAGACCUCAUUUUUGCUUUAAAAUGUUCAUUGUCUUGUCGACUAUUACAGUUGUAGUCAGUUUUUUGAUAUCUUUUACAGUUCUUCCACAACAAUUUAGCUUUAAGCAACUUGUGGUUUUCAGCAAAUUUUCAGGCUUUAUAAUGGGUGUGUAUUGGAGAGUUUAGAGUGAGGAUUUGAAAAGCUAGAGUGCAGACCUCGUCUCUGAUCGACAGAACCUCGCUCGAAUAUAUCGCUCCCACGCCUACAAAUCUCACUCCACAGACAUAAAAAAUACAUCAAAAUGGAGGUAUAUGUGUCCUGCUUCUCACAAAAGAGGUUUCAAAUCAUUUAAUCCUACCCCUUGGCCAGCAGGUGACCAACUGUUCAAAUAGGCGGAAAUCUCUCCCAUUAGCCCUAAUGUAUUUUUUCUGCAAGAAAAUCCUUAUCGCCACUCAGGCUCAGACUUUUUUAACUCGCUGUUGUGGCCACAUUUCUUGGAGUACAGACAUGAAAAACACAUCAUUGUGUUCAUGAAGGGCGGAGGAUUCGUACGAUGUUCUUAUUUUCAUUCUUGGACUUAAGGAAAUCACGCUAUGUGAAGAAGUUCAGAGGCAAUAAAUUCACUGCACUUAAGGAGCUUCUCAGUCAAACAGUUGGUCAGUUAAUGCCUUUGAUCUCACAGCUGUUUAGGAUGCAGUCAUUAAGGAGAGACACACACACACACAUUCUUGUACUUGCUGCCUUGUGAGGUCUAUGAGAAAAGACCCACAAAGCGAGGACUACAAACUUUGAGCUACAGAAACCAUUCAGGGCUUCCAAAUAUUCAGCUCAUUGAGGACAAUAUGGGGUGUACUCAGGAUUUUUAUUCAUUUAACUUUUUCCCACUUUAAAAUUAUUCUCAUUAUUCAUGCAUUAUUAAAUGCUUCAGACAAAUCCAAACUCAUUCAAACUGAUUCAAACCUUUCGGAUACUUCAAACCUGUUUAACACAUUAGGACGUCUAAUUAUUUAAAGUUUUUCCCACUUCAAAAUCAUUCUCAUUAUUUAUGUAUGUUUUGAUUCUUCAAGCAAAAUCCCAGUUCUACCACUACAAUUACUACUUAUGUCACCUUAACUUGUAUCUUCACUUCUACCUCCACUGCUCUUGCUUCUCUUAAUAUUUUUUUACUUCUACUCUUACUUCUACCACGAGCUCUACUGCUUUGACUUCUACUUCUUCUAUUCUAAAACUACUUCUACUGCUUACAUGACUACUAAUAUCACUACUACAACUACCUAUUAUCAUACUACUUCUAGUACUACAACUUAAACUUAUGCCACUUCUCACGUACUUGCCUUUUAAGGUAAUUUACUUCUUCAUUCAAACUUUGUGUAAUUGUAAAAAAAUUUCCAGCCUCUUUCAGCAUGAAUCAAAUUUCAAUUUGAGGAGCAUAUUCGUACUAUUUAUUCUCCAACCUCUUAUUUACAAUUAUUUAACUUAUAUAUUUUUUCCCCCCUUCAACAGCUUUUACAUUUAUACCUUUCUCCAUGUUUUAUUAGCAGUUUAGCAUUGCUUUUUCAGCUUUCAGCACUCAGCAUUUCCACGCAUUUUCUGCAAGGAAAUGCAAUUUUUCUAGUUAAGUGGAAAUGCUGAUUAAGCAUUUCCACUUAUUGUUAUUCUCCCGUUUCUUUAUUAAGUGGAAAUGCUGAUAGGCAUUUCCACUUAUUGUUAUUCUCCCGUUUCUUUAUUAUUAAGUGGAAAUGCUGAUAGGCAUUUCCACUUAUUGUUAUUCUCCCGUUUCUUUAUUAUUAUUAUUAUUAUUAUUAUUAUUCUUCCGCCGUUUUUCGUCCGCUUUCAACUCCUUCCCAGUUUGUGCGAUUUCAACCGUUCAAACUUUAAACUAUUCCACUCCUUCAGGACACGUUUGCUAUUACUUUUCACUUUUCUAACAUUUAUACUUUUUGUUUUUUUUAACUUUUUGUGCAAAAAUUUUAACAUUGAAGUCAAUGGGGAAAUCUUCCAAUUCUUCCUUUUAUUCUUCCACCUUCUAGACCUUAUAACUUCAGCAUACUUUCACCUAGAGACCUCAUUUUUGCUUUAAAAUGUUCAUUCACUUGUCGACUAUUAAAGUUGUACUCAGUUUUUUUAUAUCUCUUACAGUUUUUCCACAAUUUAGCUUUAAGCAACUUGUGGUUUUCAGCAAAUUUCAGGCUUUAUAAUGGGUGUGUAUUGGAGAGUUUAGAGUGAUGAUGUCAUCAGCUAGAGUGCAGACCUCGUCUCUGAUCGACAGAACCUCGCUCGAAUAUAUCGCUCCCACGCCCACAAAUCUCACUCCACUGACACAAAUAAUACAUCAAAAUGGAGGUAUAUGUGUCCUGCUUCUCACAAAAGAGGUUUCAAAUCAUUAAAUCGUACCCCUUGGCCAGCAGGUGACCAACUGUCCAAAGAAGGCGGAAAUCUCUCCCAUUGACCGUAAUGUUAAUUUUCUCCAAGAAAAUCCGGAUCAUCGCUCAGGCUCAGACUUUUUUAACUCGCUGUUGUGGCCACAUCUGUCGGAGUACAGACAUGAAAAAUACUUCAUUGUGUUCAUGAAGGGCGGAGGAUUCGUACGAUGUUCUUAUUUUCAUUCUGUGACUUAAGGAAAUCACGCUAUGUGAAGAAGUUUAGAGCCUCUAAAUCCUCUGCAGUUCAGCUGCUUCUCAUUCAAACAGUAGGUCAGUGAUUUGCCUUUGAUCUCACAGCUGUUUAGGAUGCAGUCAUUAACGAGACACACACACACACACACACACACACACACAUUCUUGUACUUGUUGCUUUAUGAGGUCUACCUUGCAGUUCAGCUGCUUGUACACACAGUUAAUAUGUGUCUGCUUCACCACCUAUCUCCACCCACAAACUUUGAGCUACAGAAACCAUUCUGGGCUUCUAAAAUUCAGCUCAUUGAAGAUAUUAUGGGGUGUUUUGAGGAUUGUGAUAAUAAAUUGUAUUAAUGUGUUUAGCAGAGUCUUGUGUUCUCACAAGCUCCUUAUCAGGAAUAGAUACAGAGGAUGAGCGUCAGGGCCUACUUGGAGUCCUGUUUCCUUAGCUUCAAGCCUUCUUUCUCCUGCUAUAGUUAUGCAUCCAAGGUCCCCAUGGCAACCAAUUAGUGCACCUGGAGACACACAGCUGACUGGAAAGCUGCUUCUAAUGGCCAUAUGAGACACAUGAAGCCAGGCUCAGUACACAUAGCACUGGGGAUGACACUUAAAACCCUUUCCUAGAGCGCUUGAAAAAACUUCAGCCCCUAUCUCCUCACAUGACCUUUGACCUACAGAAACCAUUCAGGGCUUUAAAAUUUAAGCUCAUUGAGGACAUUAUGGGGUGUAUUUAGGAUUUAUAUUCAUUUAAAUUUUUCACAUUUUAAAGUCACUCAGUGAUGAUUUAUCAUUUAAUUUUUCAAACUAAUUUGAACUGAUUCAAACUGAUUCAAACCUUUCUAAUACUUAAAAAAUUAAACUUAUGCCACUUCCCACCUUCCUGCCUUUUAAGGCAAUUUCCUUCUUCAUUCAAACUUUGUGCAAUUUUAGACAUUUUUCUAGCCUCUUUCAGCAUGAAUAAAAUUUCUUUUUAUAGAGCAUAUUCAUACUAUUUGUCCUUCAACCAAUUAAUCAAUUAUCCAACUUACAUUUCUUUCACACCCCUUCAACAGCUUUAACAUUUAUACCUUUCUCCAUGUUUUAUUAGCAGUUUAGCAUUGCUUUUUCAGCUUUCAGCACUCAGCAUUUCCACGCAUUUUCUGCAAGGAAAUGCAAUUUUUCUAGUUAUUAUUAUUAUUAUUAUUAUUCUUCCGCCGUUUUUCGUCCGCUUUCAACUCCUUCCCAGUUUGUGCGAUUUCAACCGUUCAAACUUUAAACUAUUCCACUCCUUCAGGACACGUUUGCUAUUACUUUUCACUUUUCUAACAUUUAUACUUUUUGUUUUUUUUAACUUUUUGUGCAAAAAUUUUAACAUUGAAGUCAAUGGGGAAAUCUUCCAAUUCUUCCUUUUAUUCUUCCACCUUCUAGACCUUAUAACUUCAGCAUACUUUCACCUAGAGACCUCAUUUUUGCUUUAAAAUGUUCAUUCACUUGUCGACUAUUAAAGUUGUACUCAGUUUUUUUAUAUCUCUUACAGUUUUUCCACAAUUUAGCUUUAAGCAACUUGUGGUUUUCAGCAAAUUUCAAGCUUUAUAAUGGGUGUGUAUUGGAGAGUUUAGAGUGAUGAUGUCAUCAGCUAGAGUGCAGACCUCGUCUCUGAUCGACAGAACCUCGCUCGAAUAUAUCGCUCCCACGCCCACAAAUCUCACUCCACUGACACAAAUAAUACAUCAAAAUGGAGGUAUAUGUGUCCUGCUUCUCACAAAAGAGGUUUCAAAUAAUUAAAUCGUACCCCUUGGCCAGCAGGUGACCAACUGUCCAAAAAAGGCAGAAAUCUCUCCCAUUGACCGUAAUGUAAUUUGUCUCCAAGAAAAUCCGGAUCAUCGCUCAGGCUCAGACUUUUUUAACUCGCUGUUGUGGCCACAUUUUUCGGAGUACAGACAUGAAAAACACAUCAUUGUGUUCAUGAAGGGCGGAGGAUUCGUACGAUGUUCUUAUUUUCAUUCUGGGACUUAAGGAAAUCACGCUAUGUGAAGAAGUUUAGAGCCUCUAAAUCCUCUGCAGUUCAGCUGCUUCUCAUUCAAACAGUAGGUCAGUGAUUUGCCUUUGAUCUCACAGCUGUUUAGGAUGCAGUCAUUAACGAGACACACACACACACACACACACACACACAUUCUUGUACUUGUUGCUUUAUGAGGUCUACCUUGCAGUUCAGCUGCUUGUACACACAGUUAAUAUGUGUCUGCUUCGCCACCUAUCUCCACCCACAAACUUUGAGCUACAGAAACCAUUCUGGGCUUCUAAAAUUCAGCUCAUUGAAGAUAUUAUGGGGUGUUUUGAGGAUUGUGAUAAUAAAUUGUAUUAAUGUGUUUAGCAGAGUCUUGUGUUCUCACAAGCUCCUUAUCAGGAAUAGAUACAGAGGAUGAGCGUCAGGGCCUACUUGGAGUCCUGUUUCCUUAGCUUCAAGCCUUCUUUCUCCUGCUAUAGUUAUGCAUCCAAGGUCCCCAUGGCAACCAAUUAGUGCACCUGGAGACACACAGCUGACUGGAAAGCUGCUUCUAAUGGCCAUAUGAGACACAUGAAGCCAGGCUCAGCACACAUAGCACUGGGGAUGACACUUAAAACCCUUUACUAGAGCGCUUGAAAAAACUUCAGCCCCUAUCUCCUCACAUGACCUUUGACCUACAGAAACCAUUCAGGGCUUUAAAAUUUGAGCUCAUUGAGGACAUUAUGGUGUGUAUUUAGGAUUUAUAUACAUUUAGAUUUUUCACAUUUUAAAGUCACUCAGUGAUGAUUUAUCAUUUAAUUUUUCAAACUAAUUUGAACUGAUUCAAACUGAUUCAAACCUUUCUAAUAGUUAAAAAAUUAAACUUAUGCCACUUCCCACCUUCCUGCCUUUUAAGGCAAUUUCCUUCUUCAUUCAAACUUUGUGCAAUUUUAGACAUUUUUCUAGCCUCUUCCAGCAUGAAUAAAAUUUCUUUUUAUAGAGCAUAUUCAUACUAUUUGUCCUUCAACCAAUUAAUCAAUUAUCCAACUUACAUUUCUUUCACACCCCUUCAACAGCUUUAACAUUUAUACCUUUCUCCAUGUUUUAUUAGCAGUUUAGCAUUGCUUUUUCAGCUUUCAGCACUCAGCAUUUCCACGCAUUUUCUGCAAGGAAAUGCAAUUUUUCUAGUUAAGUGGAAAUGCUGAUAGGCAUUUCCACUUAUUGUUAUUCUCCCGUUUCUUUAUUAUUAUUAUUAUUAUUCUUCCGCCGUUUUUCGUCCGCUUUCAACUCCUUCCCAGUUUGUCCGAUUUCAACCGUUCAAACUUUAAACUAUUCCACUCCUUCAGGACACGUUUGCUAUUACUUUUCACUUUUCUAACAUUUAUACUUUUUGUUUUUUUUAACUUUUUGUGCAAAAAUUUUAACAUUGAAGUCAAUGGGGAAAUCUUCCAAUUCUUCCUUUUAUUCUUCCACCUUCUAGACCUUAUAACUUCAGCAUACUUUCACCUAGAGACCUCAUUUUUGCUUUAAAAUGUUCAUUCACUUGUCGACUAUUAUAGUUGUACUCAGUUUUUUGAUAUCUCUUACAGUUUUUCCACAAUUUAGCUUUAAGCAACUUGUGGUUUUCAGCAAAUUUCAAGCUUUAUAAUGGGUGUGUAUUGGAGAGUUUAGAGUGAUGAUGUCAUCAGCUAGAGUGCAGACCUCGUCUCUGAUCGACAGAACCUCGCUCGAAUAUAUCGCUCCCACGCCCACAAAUCUCACUCCACUGACACAAAUAAUACAUCAAAAUGGAGGUAUAUGUGUCCUGCUUCUCACAAAAGAGGUUUCAAAUCAUUAAAUCGUACCCCUUGGCCAGCAGGUGACCAACUGUCCAAAGAAGGCGGAAAUCUCUCCCAUUGACCGUAAUGUUAUUUUUCUCCAAGAAAAUCCGGAUCAUCGCUCAGGCUCAGACUUUUUUAACUCGCUGUUGUGGCCUCAUUUUUCGGAGUACAGACAUGAAAAACACAUCAUUGUGUUCAUGAAGGGCGGAGGAUUCGUACGAUGUUCUUAUUUUCAUUCUGUGACUUAAGGAAAACACGCUAUGUGAAGAAGUUUAGAGCCUCUAAAUCCUCUGCAGUUCAGCUGCUUCUCAUUCAAACAGUAGGUCAGUGAUUUGCCUUUGAUCUCACAGCUGUUUAGGAUGCAGUCAUUAACGAGACACACACACACACACACACACACACAUUCUUGUACUUGUUGCUUUAUGAGGUCUACCUUGCAGUUCAGCUGCUUGUACACACAGUUAAUAUGUGUCUGCUUCGCCACCUAUCUCCACCCACAAACUUUGAGCUACAGAAACCAUUCUGGGCUUCUAAAAUUCAGCUCAUUGAAGAUAUUAUGGGGUGUUUUGAGGAUUGUGAUAAUAAAUUGUAUUAAUGUGUUUAGCAGAGUCUUGUGUUCUCACAAGCUCCUUAUCAGGAAUAGAUACAGAGGAUGAGCGUCAGGGCCUACUUGGAGUCCUGUUUCCUUAGCUUCAAGCCUUCUUUCUCCUGCUAUAGUUAUGCAUCCAAGGUCCCCAUGGCAACCAAUUAGUGCACCUGGAGACACACAGCUGACUGGAAAGCUGCUUCUAAUGGCCAUAUGAGACACAUGAAGCCAGGCUCAGCACACAUAGCACUGGGGAUGACACUUAAAACCCUUUCCUAGAGCGCUUGAAAAAACUUCAGCCCCUAUCUCCUCACAUGACCUUUGACCUACAGAAACCAUUCAGGGCUUUAAAAUUUGAGCUCAUUGAGGACAUUAUGGGGUGUAUUUAGGAUUUAUAUACAUUUAGAUUUUUCACAUUUUAAAGUCACUCAGUGAUGAUUUAUCAUUUAAUUUUUCAAACUAAUUUGAACUGAUUCAAACUGAUUCAAACCUUUCUAAUACUUAAAAAAUUAAACUUAUGCCACUUCCCACCUUCCUGCCUUUUAAGGCAAUUUCCUUCUUCAUUCAAACUUUGUGCAAUUUUAGACAUUUUUCUAGCCUCUUUCAGUAUGAAUAAAAUUUCUUUUUAUAGAGCAUAUUCAUACUAUUUGUCCUUCAACCAAUUAAUCAAUUAUCCAACUUACAUUUCUUUCACACCCCUUCAACAGCUUUAACAUUUAUACAUUUCUCCAUGUUUUAUUAGCAGUUUAGCAUUGCUUUUUCAGCUUUCAGCACUCAGCAUUUCCACGCAUUUUCUGCAAGGAAAUGCAAUUUUUCUAGUUAAGUGGAAAUGCUGAUAGGCAUUUCCACUUAUUGUUAUUCUCCCGUUUCUUUAUUAUUAUUAUUAUUAUUAUUAUUAUUAUUCUUCCGCCGUUUUUCGUCCGCUUUCAACUCCUUCCCAGUUUGUGCGAUUUCAACCGUUCAAACUUUAAACUAUUCCACUCCUUCAGGACACGUUUGCUAUUACUUUUCACUUUUCUAACAUUUAUACUUUUUGUUUUUUUUAACUUUUUGUGCAAAAAUUUUAACAUUGAAGUCAAUGGGGAAAUCUUCCAAUUCUUCCUUUUAUUCUUCCACCUUCUAGACCUUAUAACUUCAGCAUACUUUCACCUAGAGACCUCAUUUUUGCUUUAAAAUGUUCAUUCACUUGUCGACUAUUAUAGUUGUACUCAGUUUUUUGAUAUCUUUUACAGUUUUUCCACAAUUUAGCUUUAAGCAACUUGUGGUUUUCAGCAAAUUUCAAGCUUUAUAAUGGGUGUGUAUUGGAGAGUUUAGAGUGAUGAUGUCAUCAGCUAGAGUGCAGACCUCGUCUCUGAUCGACAGAACCUCGCUCGAAUAUAUCGCUCCCACGCCCACAAAUCUCACUCCACUGACACAAAUAAUACAUCAAAAUGGAGGUAUAUGUGUCCUGCUUCUCACAAAAGAGGUUUCAAAUCAUUAAAUCCUACCCCUUGGCCAGCAGGUGACCAACUGUCCAAAAAAGGCGGAAAUCUCUCCCAUUGACCAUAAUGUUAUUUUUCUCCAAGAAAAUCCGGAUCAUCGCUCAGGCUCAGACUUUUUUAACUCGCUGUUGUGGCCUCAUUUUUCGAAGUACAGACAUGAAAAAGACAUCAUUGUGUUCAUGAAGGGCGGAGGAUUCGUACGAUGUUCUUAUUUUCAUUCUGUGACUUAAGGAAAUCACGCUAUGUGAAGAAGUUUAGAGCCUCUAAAUCCUCUGCAGUUCAGCUGCUUCUCAUUCAAACAGUAGGUCAGUGAUUUGCCUUUGAUCUCACAGCUGUUUAGGAUGCAGUCAUUAACGAGACACACACACACACACACACACACACAUUCUUGUACUUGUUGCUUUAUGAGGUCUACCUUGCAGUUCGACUGCUUGUACACACAGUUAAUAUGUGUCUGCUUCGCCACCUAUCUCCACCCACAAACUUUGAGCUACAGAAACCAUUCUGGGCUUCUAAAAUUCAGCUCAUUGAAGAUAUUAUGGGGUGUUUUGAGGAUUGUGAUAAUAAAUUGUAUUAAUGUGUUCAGCAGAGUCUUGUGUUCUCACAAGCUCCUUAUCAGGAAUAGAUACAGAGGAUGAGUGUCAGGGCCUACUUGGAGUCCUGUUUCCUUAGCUUCAAGCCUUCUUUCUCCUGCUAUAGUUAUGCAUCCAAGGUCCCCAUGGCAACCAAUUAGUGCACCUGGAGACACACAGCUGACUGGAAAGCUGCUUCUAAUGGCCAUAUGAGACACAUGAAGCCAGGCUCAGUACACAUAGCACUGGGGAUGACACUUAAAACCCUUUCCUAGAGCGCUUGAAAAAACUUCAGCCCCUAUCUCCUCACAUGACCUUUGACCUACAGAAACCAUUCAGGGCUUUAAAAUUUAAGCUCAUUGAGGACAUUAUGGGGUGUAUUUAGGAUUUAUAUUCAUUUAGAUUUUUCACAUUUUAAAGUCACUCAGUGAUGAUUUAUCAUUUAAUUUUUCAAACUAAUUUGAACUGAUUCAAACUGAUUCAAACCUUUCUAAUACUUAAAAAAUUAAACUUAUGCCACUUCUCACCUUCCUGCCUUUUAAGGCAAUUUCCUUCUUCAUUCAAACUUUGUGCAAUUUUAGACAUUUUUCUAGCCUCUUUCAGCAUGAAUAAAAUUUCCUUUUAUAGAGCAUAUUCAUACUAUUUGUCCUUCAACCAAUUAAUCAAUUAUCCAACUUAUAUUUCUGUUCACCCCUUCAACAGCUUUAACAUUUAUACCUUUCUCCAUGUUUUAUUAGCAGUUUAGCAUUGCUUUUUCAGCUUUCAGCACUCAGCAUUUCCACGCAUUUUCUGCAAGGAAAUGCAAUUUUUCUAGUUAUUAUUAUUAUUCUUCCGCCGUUUUUCGUCCGCUUUCAACUCCUUCCCAGUUUGUGCGAUUUCAACCGUUCAAACUUUAAACUAUUCCACUCCUUCAGGACACGUUUGCUAUUACUUUUCACUUUUCUAACAUUUAUACUUUUUGUUUUUUUUUACUUUUUGUGCAAAAAAUUUUAACAUUGAAGUCAAUGGGGAAAUCUUCCAAUUCUUCCUUUUUUUCUUCCACCUUCUAGACCUUAUAACUUCAGCAUACUUUCACCUAGAGACCUCAUUUUUGCUUUAAAAUGUUCAUUCACUUGUCGACUAUUACAGUUGUACUCAGUUUUUUGACAUCUCUUACAGUUUUUCCACAAUUUAGCUUUAAGCAACUUGUGGUUUUCAGCAAAUUUCAAGCUUUAUAAUGGGUGUGUAUUGGAGAGUUUAGAGUGAUGAUGUCAUCAGCUAGAGUGCAGACCUCGUCUCUGAUCGACAGAACCUCGCUCGAAUAUAUCGCUCCCACGCCCACAAAUCUCACUCCACUGACACAAAUAAUACAUCAAAAUGGAGGUAUAUGUGUCCUGCUUCUCACAAAAGAGGUUUCAAAUCAUUAAAUCGUACCCCUUGGCCAGCAGGUGACCAACUGUCCAAAGAAGGCGGAAAUCUCUCCCAUUGACGGUAAUGUUAUUUUUCUCCAAGAAAAUCCGGAUCAUCGCUCAGGCUCAGACUUUUUUAACUCGCUGUUGUGGCCACAUUUUUCGGAGUGCAGACAUGAAAAACACAUCAUUGUGUUCAUGAAGGACGGAGGAUUCGUACGAUGUUCUUAUUUUCAUUCUGGGACUUAAGGAAAUCACGCUAUGUGAAGAAGUUCACAGGCUUCAAAUCCUCUGCUGUUCAGCUGCUUCUCAUUCAAACAGUAGGUCAGUGAUUUGCCUUUGAUCUCACAGCUGUUAGGGAUGCAGUCAUUAAUGAGAAACACACACACACACGCACACAUUCUUGUACUUGUUGCAUUGUCAGGUCUACCUUGCAGUUCACCUGCUUGUACACACAGAUAAUAUGUGUCUGCUUCACCACCUAUCUCCACCCACAAACUUUGAGCUACAGAAACCAUUCUGGGCUUGAAAAAUUCAGCUCAUUGAAGAUAUUAUGGGGUGUUUUGAGGAUUGUGAUAAUAAAUUGUAUUAAUGUGUUCAGCAGAGUCUUGUGUUCUCACAAGCUCCUUAUGAAUAUAUACAGAGGGUGAGCGUCAGGGCCUACUUGGAGUCCUGUUUCCUUAGCUUCAAGCCUUCUUUCUCCUGCUAUAGUUAUGCAUCCAAGGUCCCCAUGGCAACCAAUUUGUGCACCUGGAGACACACAGCUGACUGGAAAGCUGCUUCUAAUGGCCAUAUGAGACACAUGAAGCCAGGCUCAGUACACAUAGCACUGGGGAUGACACUUAAAACCCUUUCCUAGAGCGCUUGAAAAACCUUCAGCCCCUAUCUCCUCACAUGACCUUUGACCUACAGAAACCAUUCAGGGCUUUAAAAUUUAAGCUCAUUGAGGACAUUAUGGGGUGUAUUUAGGAUUUAUAUUCAUUUAAAUUUUUCUCAUUUUAAAGUCACUCAGUGAUGAUUUAUCAUUUAAUUUUUCAAACUAAUUUAAACUCAUUCAAACUGAUUCAAACCUUUCUAAUACUUAAAAACUUUCUGAUACUUGAGGAUUUUUAAUUAAUAAAAUUUUCCCUGUUUUAUAUUAUUUUUAAUAUUUAUGCAUUAAUCCGUCCUUCAAACAAAAUCCUACCUCUAGUACUACAACUACUUAUGUCAAUUAAACUAGAACUUUCCCCUCUACUUCAACUGCUAUUGCUCCUAUUUCUACUUUCUCUACUGCUGCUAUUGCUACUAUUUCUACUUUCUUUACUACUUUGACUUAUACUUCUUUUAUUCUCAAUCUACUUCUACUGCUGACAUGACUACUAGUAUCACGACUUGACUUCUUAUCAUACUUCUUCUAGUACUACAACUUAAACUUAUGCCACUUCUCACCUUCCUGCCUUUAAAGGCAGUUUCCUUCUUCAUUCAAACUUUGUGCAAUUUUCGACAUUUUUCUAGCCUCUUUCAGCAUGAAUAAAAUUUCCUUUUAUAGAGCAUAUUCAUACUAUUUGUCCUUCAACCAAUUAAACUAUUAUCCAACUUAUAUUUCUUUUUCACCCCUUCAACAGCUUUAACAUUUAUACCUUUCUCCAUGUUUUAUUAGCAGUUUAGCAUUGCUUUUUCAGCUUUCAGCACUCAGCAUUUCCACGCAUUUUCUGCAAGGAAAUGCAAUUUUUCUAGUAUUAUACUUAACACUCUCCCCAUACGUUUCUUUGGACCGCUUCUCCUCCUUCAAAAUUUGUCCGAUUUCAACCGUUCAAACUUUAAACUAUUCCACUCCAUCAGGACAUGUGUGCUUGUAUUUUUUUCCUUUCUAUCCUUUGUACUUUUUAUUAUUUUUCACUUUUUGUGCCAAACUUUUUUUCCCAUAGAAAUGAAUGGGGAAAUCUUCCACUUCUUCCUGUUAUUCGUCCACCUUCUAAGCCUUAUAACUUCACCAUACUUUCACCUAGAGACCUCAUUUUUGCUUUAAAAUGUUCAUUGUCUUGUCGACUAUUGAUGUUGUAUUAACCUCUUUGUGCUAUCUUUUACAGUUUUUCCACAGUUUAGCUUUAUGCAACUUGUGGUUUUCAGCAAAUUUCAGGCUUUAUAAUGGGGCAGUAUUGGAGAGGCUAGAGUGAUGAUUUGAAAAGCUAGAGUGCAGACCUCGUCUCUGAUCGACAGAACCUCGCUUGAAUAUAUCGCUCCCACGCCCACAAAUCUCACUCCACAGCCAUAAAAAAUACAUCAAAAUGGAGGUAUAUGUGUCCUGCUUCUCACAAAAGAGGUUUCAAAUCAUUAAAUCCUACCCCUUGGCCAGCAGGUGACCAACUGUCCAAAUAGGCGGAAAUCUCUCCCCAUUGGCCCUAAUGUAUUUUUUCUCCAAGAAAAUCCUUAUCGUCACUCAGGCUCAGACUUUUUUAACUCGCUGUUGUGGCCACAUUUUUCGGAGUACAGACAUGAAAAACACAUCAUUGUGUUCAUGAAGGGCGGAGGAUUCGUACGAUGUUCUUAUUUUCAUUCUGGGAUUUAAGGAAAUCGUGCUAUGUGAAAAAGUUCAGAACCCUAAAUUCACUGCAGUUCAGCAGCUUCUCAGUCAAACAGUAGGUCAGUGAUUUGCCUUUGAUCUUACAGCUGUUUAGGAUGCAAUCAUUAACGAGACACACACACACACACACACACACACACAUUCUGCAUCCAAGGUCCCCAUGGCAACCAAUUUGUGCACCUGGAGACACACAGCUGAAUGGAAAGCUGCUUCUAAUGGCCAUAUGAGACACAUGAAGCCAGACUCAGUACACAUAGCACUGGGGAUGACACUUAAAACCCUUUCCUAGAGCGCUUGAAAAAACUUCAGCCCCCAUCUCCUCACAUGACCUUUGACCUACAGAAACCAUUCAGGGCUUUAAAAUUUAAGCUCAUUGAGGACAUUAUGGGGUGUAUUCAGGAUUUUUCUUCAUAUACAUUUUUCAAAUUUUAAAGUCACUCAGUGUUGAUUUAUUAUUUAAUUUGUAAACUAAUUUAAACUCAUUCAAACUCAUUCAUACCUUUCUGAUACUUAAAAUCUUACUGAUACUUGAGGAUUUUCAAUUAUUUAAAUUUACCCUGAUUUAAAUUAGUUUUAAUAUUUAUGCAUUAUUCCAUCCUUCAAACAAAAUCCCAUCUCUAGAGCUACAACUACUGCUAAUGUCAAUUAAACUAGAACUUUCCCCUCUACUUCAACUGCUAUUGCUCCGAUUUCUACUUUCUCUACUGCUGCUAUUGCUACUAUUUCUACUUUUUCUACUACUUUGACUUAUACUUUUUUCCCAAACUACUUCUACUGCUGACAUGACUACUAAUAUCACUACUCGACUACUUAUCAUACUACUUCUAGUACUACAACUUAAACUUAUGCCACUUCUCACCUUCCUGCCUUUUAAGGCAAUUUCCUUCUUCAUUCAAACUUUGUGCAAUUUUAGACAUUUUUCUAGCCUCUUUCAGCAUGAAUAAAAUUUCCUUUUAUAGAGCAUAUUCAUACUAUUUGUCCUUCAACCAAUUAAACAAUUAUCCAACUUAUAUUUCUUUUUCACCCCUUCAACAGCUUUAACAUUUAUACCUUUCUCCAUGUUUUAUUAGCAGUUUAGCAUUGCUUUUUCAGCUUUCAGCACUCAGCAUUUCCACGCAUUUUCUGCAAGGAAAUGCAAUUUUUCUAGUUAAGUGGAAAUGCUGAUUAAGCAUUUCCACUUAUUGUUAUUCCUGUCGGCCAUUUUUCUUUAUUAUUAUUAAGUGGAAAUGCUGAUUAAGCAUUUCCACUUAUUGUUAUUCCUGUCGGCCAUUUUUCUUUAUUAUUAUUAUUAUUAUUAUUAAGUGGAAAUGCUGAUUAAGCAUUUCCACUUAUUGUUAUUCCUGUCGGCCAUUUUUCUUUAUUAAGUGGAAAUGCUGAUUAAGCAUUUCCACUUAUUGUUAUUCUGUUCUUUAUUAUUAUUAUUAUUAUUAUUAUUUUUCUUCCGCCGUUUUUCGUCCGCUUUCAACUCCUUCAAACUUUGUCCGAUUUCAACCGUUCAAACUUUAAACUAUUCCACUCCUUCAGGACAUGUUUGCUUGUACUUUUUACCUUUCUACCUUUUAUACUUUUUGUUUUUUUUAACUUUUUGUGCAAAAAUUUUAACAUUGAAGUCAAUGGGGAAAUCUUCCACUCCUUCCUUUUAUUCUUCCACCUUCUAGACCUUAUAACUUCAGCAUACUUUCACCUAGAAACCUCAUUUUUGCUUUAAAAUGUUCAUUCACUUGUCGACUAUUACAGUUGUACUCAGUUUUUUGAUAUCUCUUACAGUUUUUCCACAAUUUAGCUUUAAGCAACUUGUGGUUUUCAGCAAAUUUCAAGCUUUAUAAUGGGUGUGUAUUGGAGAGUUUAGAGUGAUGAUGUCAUCAGCUAGAGUGCAGACCUCGUCUCUGAUCGACAGAACCUCGCUCGAAUAUAUCGCUCCCACGCCCACAAAUCUCACUCCACUGACACAAAUAAUACAUCAAAAUGGAGGUGUAUGUGUCCUGCUUCUCACAAAAGAGGUUUCAAAUCAUUAAAUCCUACCCCUUGGCCAGCAGGUGACCAACUGUCCAAAAAAGGCGGAAAUCUCUCCCAUUGACCGUAAUGUUAUUUUUUAAUGUUAAAAUCUGGAUCAUCGCUCAGGCUCAGACUUUUUUAACUCGCUGUUGUGGCCUCAUUUUUCGAAGUACAGACAUGAAAAACACAUCAUUGUGUUCAUGAAGGACGGAGGAUUCGUACGAUGUUCUUAUUUUCAUUCUGGGACUUAAGGAAAUCACGCUAUGUGAAGAAGUUCACAGGCUUCAAAUCCUCUGCAGUUCAGCUGCUUCUCAUUCAAACAGUAGGUCAGUGAUUUGCCUUUGAUCUCACAGCUGUUUAGGAUUAAAUCAUUAAUGACACACACACACCUCUGACAAUGUGUGUGCGUCAGUCUCUUUCUCUCUAUGAGACCUUCAGGUACACACAGUAAAUAUGUGCCUGCGUGAGUCUCUCUCUGUCUAUGAGACCUGAACACACUUUGACCAUGUGUCUGCUUCACUACCUAUCUUCUCUCACAAACUUUGAGACACAGACACAUUUAGGGCUUCAAAAAUUGCAGCUCAUUGAGGACAUUAUGGAGUCUACAGAGGAUUCAUUUAAAUUGUCCUUAUUUAAAAUCAUUCUCAUUAUUUAUGCAUUAUUCAAUUCUUCUAACAAAUUUAAUCUCAUUCUUAUUCUAACC
This 26064-nucleotide long non-coding RNA is filed under the name Xyrichtys novacula (pearly razorfish). The record is from RNAcentral. Lineage: Eukaryota; Metazoa; Chordata; Actinopteri; Labriformes; Labridae.